UGCAAGUCGAACGGUGAUGGCCAGCUUGCUGGUCUGAUCAGUGGCGAACGGGUGAGUAACACGUGAGCAACCUGCCCUUCACUCUGGGAUAACCACGGGAAACGGUGGCUAAUACCGGAUAUGAGACGUACACGCAUGUGUCGCGUCUGGAAAGAUUUAUCGGUGAAGGAUGGGCUCGCGGCCUAUCAGCUUGUUGGUGGGGUAGUGGCCCACCAAGGCGACGACGGGUAGCCGGCCUGAGAGGGCGACCGGCCACACUGGGACUGAGACACGGCCCAGACUCCUACGGGAGGCAGCAGUGGGGAAUAUUGCACAAUGGGCGCAAGCCUGAUGCAGCGACGCCGCGUGAGGGAUGACGGCCUUCGGGUUGUAAACCUCUUUCAGCAGGGAAGAAGCGCAAGUGACGGUACCUGCAGAAGAAGCGCCGGCUAACUACGUGCCAGCAGCCGCGGUAAUACGUAGGGCGCAAGCGUUGUCCGGAAUUAUUGGGCGUAAAGAGCUCGUAGGCGGUUUGUCGCGUCUGCUGUGAAAACCUAAGGCUCAACCUUGGGCUUGCAGUGGGUACGGGCAGACUAGAGUGCGGUAGGGGUGACUGGAAUUCCUGGUGUAGCGGUGGAAUGCGCAGAUAUCAGGAGGAACACCGAUGGCGAAGGCAGGUCACUGGGCCGCAACUGACGCUGAGGAGCGAAAGCAUGGGGAGCGAACAGGAUUAGAUACCCUGGUAGUCCAUGCCGUAAACGUUGGGCACUAGGUGUGGGGCUCAUUCCACGAGUUCCGUGCCGCAGCAAACGCAUUAAGUGCCCCGCCUGGGGAGUACGGCCGCAAGGCUAAAACUCAAAGAAAUUGACGGGGGCCCGCACAAGCGGCGGAGCAUGCGGAUUAAUUCGAUGCAACGCGAAGAACCUUACCAAGGCUUGACAUACACCGGAAAAGUGCAGAGAUGUGCUCCCCGCAAGGUCGGUGUACAGGUGGUGCAUGGUUGUCGUCAGCUCGUGUCGUGAGAUGUUGGGGUUAAGUCCCGCAACGAGCGCAACCCUCGUCCCAUGUUGCCAGCGGGUUAUGCCGGGGAC
Molecule: ribosomal RNA, 1070 nt
Filed under: Cellulomonas sp. 1152G6
Lineage: Bacteria; Bacillati; Actinomycetota; Actinomycetes; Micrococcales; Cellulomonadaceae
Description: bacterial SSU rRNA
Rfam family: Bacterial small subunit ribosomal RNA
Source: RNAcentral